CACCGGCACCGGCAGUGGGACCGGCACUGGCACCGGCACCGGCAAUGGGACCGGCACCGGCAUAGACACCAGUAUUGACAUUGACACCAGUAACCAUUGACACCCGGGAUGGCAGCUGACCAAGGAGCAGCACUGACAGGCCCACAGGGGCUAAUUCAUGGAGUGCUGUCACCUCAGUGGGUCAUGACAUGAGUGGGGUUUGCAGUCAGGCUUUCUGAUGUCACAAAGGAAUCCCCAUCUCUGUCGAUGCAGAAAUGUCUCUGUUCCAUACUGCAAGUGUCAUAUGAAGCAGCAUUCUCACCUGGAUGUGUAAAUCAGGUGUGCCGUCUAUCCCUCCUGAGCCUGGAAAUCUCUUCUCUACAUGUUUCAUUCCCAUCCUCACUUUCCCCCAAACACUCAUGGCUGUGCAUUCAGCACAUUCCUGAAACAGUAGAAUAUCCAGGAAGGAAGGAGUAGUAGAGGAGCAUUUCAAAUCAUCGAAUCACCCCUUUGCAACCACCUUCCCCCUGAAACUACUUGUUCCUUUCCCUUCACGUUAGUAACCUGCCAAGCAUCCACAGGAACAAAUGCCAGGAUUUAGAAAUGUUGCAAGUGUUGUGGGGAGACACUUGAAGGACUGAGCUCGACAUCAGGUUUCUCUCCAACACUUGUUCUAGCGACCCCAGUUCCUUUGGGGACAGGAGCCUUUCAGCAUCUUCAGGAGCUCCUUGGGCUGAGGAAGUUCAGCAGAGGCCACAGUCAGGGCAUGUGAAAGGUGAGGGUGUCUGGUUCUCUGAGGUUCACAUCGUGUCCAUUUUCCUUUCCAAGUGAAGAACAAGGAACAGGGAAAGUGAUGAACAAAGCACACAAUGACACCAGUCUGGCAGUAGGUGUUAAAGGAGAGCAGUGGGGAGCUCAGAGCUCUCCAGCUUCUAAUUGAGGACUCCACUGCGAGCUGAGCGGGAACAGCCCCUUGCCAUGAGCGAGGCCCCAGAGGCACGGAAUGCUCCCGGGGCCGAUGGCUGAGGGAGCCUCGGCGGCUGCUGCUGGAGGAGCGAGAAACGCCCAAGGAGCAUUUCAGGCGCUGCAAGGACAGGGCAUUGCUCUGCCUGCUCCCGCCGCUGCUGCCUUUGCCCCCGCCCAGAGUCGCUCCCGGCAGCUCCGUUCUCUCGGGGCUGCCGCGCGUUUCGGACUCUUCCUCACUCAGCAAACACGCAGCUCGCUCUCGGCAUGCACCUCGCAUGUCUCAUCCUCAGCGUCCUGCUGGCCCAGCUCCUGGGCGCCACGGGGCAGGAAACGGUCACCCAGGAUGAUGGACCAGUCACGGUGAAGCAGGGACACCCCUUCCACACCACCUGCAAAUACCAGAGCAGUUAUUUUAGGGGAUUGCACUGGUACCAGCUGCAGAAAGGCCAAGCCCCACAGCUGCUCUCCUAUCAAGUAGGGUCUGGCCGCAAGCACAGCGGCCGGAUCACCACGUACCUGAACACCACGGGCAAAUCCAGUGUCCUGCAGCUGGAGGAAGUGGAGCUCUCUGACAGUGCCUUGUACCUCUGUGCUCUGCAAGACACCCUGGUGCAGGGAGCUGCCUCGGCUGUGCAAGAACCCCGGGCAGGGAGGGGAUGUGUCAGGGCAGGGCUGAGCUUGGAGAAGGGACCCUGAUCUCAGCCCUAAUGCUCACAAGAAGUUGCAUUCAGCAUGUGUGUACUAUGGUCUGAUGGUUUUGACCCCAUGCAUCGUAGCACAUCCAUUGCAAAACUGUUUUGCAGUAUUUUGACUCAUUUCUGCAUUGUGCACUCUCUAAAGAAAGAAAAAAAAUCU
This is a non-coding RNA of Taeniopygia guttata (zebra finch), 1800 nucleotides long. Lineage: Eukaryota; Metazoa; Chordata; Aves; Passeriformes; Estrildidae. The record is from the annotation of a RefSeq genome assembly.